CAAAGCUCAAAUAAGAGGGGCUGGCGGCGGGGGAGGAGGAGGAGCCAGAAGCCUCGGCCGCUCCAUUCACACCGCUGCCUAAGCCGGGCCAGGCAGUGCGCGCGGCUCGGUGGGGGCGCCCUCGCCGCGGGGGUGGGGGGCGGGCCUGAGAGAGCGUUACCUCUGGGAGACACCCUCCUCUCCUACCAGCCACGCGCUCUCAGCCCGCCUACGGGACGCAGCCCUACCCCCACCUCCCCUUCUCGGCCUUUGCAAGUGUGGGCGCCUCGGGGCACUGGCGAGUCUCUCCAGGUCUCUUUUAGGUUGGUUAGUUUAGUGAACUGCCUCCAGCCUGGACUGCUGACCCGUGACCUCCCAUUACUCAAACCCAGGCUGACAUAUGUGGGCUUCGUUCCCUCACUUCUCAGUGUCUCCUCCUGAAAUCAAGACGCUUCUUCGGGGCUAGCAAUGUGCUUCUGUCCUGUGAUGCUGAGUAAGGCAGUGAGCCACAGCUCCCAGUCAGCCAUGCAAUCACAAAGGUUCCAGCUUAAAUGUCACCUCUUCAGUGGAGUUCUUCUUUGACUGCCUCACAUAAUAGUAGUAAAACGUUCUCAGAUGGAUUAGGGUGCUGGUUACACAGCUCAGUGAACAUACCAAAACCCAUUGAACUGGCCACUGUGAAUCGGCGAGAUGUAAGGCUGCGAGGGGAGGCCUGCACAGACUGUGUACAGAUCCUUUAUUUGAGGCAAAAUCAAGUUGUUCAAACAUAGAACUGCUCA
Lutra lutra (Eurasian river otter) is the source of this 758-nucleotide long non-coding RNA. RefSeq lists it as uncharacterized. NCBI's taxonomy places the organism in Eukaryota, Metazoa, Chordata, Mammalia, Carnivora, Mustelidae. The record is from RefSeq and is a predicted model, not a curated record. The transcript has 6 exons.